This 74-nucleotide transfer RNA is filed under the name Candidatus Woesearchaeota archaeon. RNAcentral describes it as "tRNA-Pro". It matches the Rfam family "tRNA". From Rfam's summary of the family: Transfer RNA (tRNA) molecules are approximately 80 nucleotides in length. Their secondary structure includes four short double-helical elements and three loops (D, anti-codon, and T loops). Further hydrogen bonds mediate the characteristic L-shaped molecular structure. tRNAs have two regions of fundamental functional importance: the anti-codon, which is responsible for specific mRNA codon recognition, and the 3' end, to which the tRNAs corresponding amino acid is attached (by aminoacyl-tRNA synthetases). tRNAs cope with the degeneracy of the genetic code in two manners: having more than one tRNA (with a specific anti-codon) for a particular amino acid; and 'wobble' base-pairing, i.e. permitting non-standard base-pairing at the 3rd anti-codon position. The record is from RNAcentral. Lineage: Archaea; Nanobdellati; Candidatus Woesearchaeota.
GAGGCUGUAGUGUAGCUUGGUUAUCACCUGCGGCUGGGGGCCGUAGAACGGGGGUUCGAAUCCUCCCAGCCUCA